AGGAAUGAUGGUUAUCGAAAUAGCUUAGAGGUGACGUUGCCCAGCAGUAGUGCUCAGGUCUACAAAUUGACUCGCAUUGCGAGAGUUUAAGGCUAUUUAUGGAUUCAAGGAAGACUUUUGAUUUGCAUCCAUGGCAUUUCCUCUUUUUUUUCUCUAGUGUAAAAGAAUGCUUGUUAGCUCAGUUUAUUGUUUGGAUGAAAAUGGGUGAUGGGUGAAUUUUUAA
Long non-coding RNA from Phalaenopsis equestris, 223 nucleotides. RefSeq lists it as uncharacterized. The transcript has 2 exons. NCBI's taxonomy places the organism in Eukaryota, Viridiplantae, Streptophyta, Magnoliopsida, Asparagales, Orchidaceae. The record is from RefSeq and is a predicted model, not a curated record.